This 76-nucleotide transfer RNA is filed under the name Candidatus Nitrosopumilus sp. RNAcentral describes it as "Nitrosopumilus sp. tRNA-Cys". It matches the Rfam family "tRNA". Rfam says of the family: Transfer RNA (tRNA) molecules are approximately 80 nucleotides in length. Their secondary structure includes four short double-helical elements and three loops (D, anti-codon, and T loops). Lineage: Archaea; Thermoproteati; Nitrososphaerota; Nitrososphaeria; Nitrosopumilales; Nitrosopumilaceae. RNAcentral also lists the same sequence under 3 other names. The record is from RNAcentral.
GGCGGCAUAGCCAAAUUGGUAAGGCAGCGGUUUGCAAAACCGUGUAUUCCCGGUUCAAGUCCGGGUGCCGCCUCCA